This is a non-coding RNA of Pelobates cultripes (western spadefoot toad), 394 nucleotides long. The record is from the annotation of a GenBank genome assembly. NCBI's taxonomy places the organism in Eukaryota, Metazoa, Chordata, Amphibia, Anura, Pelobatidae.
GUUUCUUCCCCUCCCCCGUUUCCUGUCUAUUGUUCUCCAGCAGGGCGUUGUCCCAGGCACACUGCCAAACCAGUUGGAACUGACUGCUUUUGUCCCUCCUUGGUUUCUCAACGGCCCUUGCUAUGCUUUACCCCAUGGAAAAUCUACUCUGUUCAUGGGAUCUGAGCGCUGUUCACCUAGAUUGGGCGCUCAGAUCCGAGCUAUCUGUGGAUAGGUUAAAUGUGGGGGUUCUGUGUAAUAAAAUAAGAAUUAUGUAUUUUUAUGUACUUUUACGUAUUUUGCUGUUAGUGUUAAAUGUAGAUAUUUUCUGUACCUGGAGAUAAUUGAGUUUACUGCAGUGCCUUAAGCCAAUUAUCUCCAGGAUGGAGAGGAGGGAUUUCAUUGUGUAUGUGAG